UGGCUCAGAUGGUAAAGCAUCUGCCUGCAAUGCGGAAGACCCAGGGUUUGAUCCCUG
Molecule: transfer RNA, 57 nt
Filed under: Bos taurus (domestic cattle)
Lineage: Eukaryota; Metazoa; Chordata; Mammalia; Artiodactyla; Bovidae
Also listed under: 3 other names
Rfam family: tRNA
About the family: Transfer RNA (tRNA) molecules are approximately 80 nucleotides in length. Their secondary structure includes four short double-helical elements and three loops (D, anti-codon, and T loops).
Source: Rfam by way of RNAcentral